This is a non-coding RNA of Parelaphostrongylus tenuis, 73 nucleotides long. Lineage: Eukaryota; Metazoa; Nematoda; Chromadorea; Rhabditida; Metastrongylidae. The record is from the annotation of a GenBank genome assembly.
GUAGUCGGUAGUGCAACGGUUAACAUACGCUCCCGGAAAGAGUGAAAUCUGGGUUCGAAUCCUGGCCGACGCA